GACGGAGGGGGCUAGCGUUGUUCGGAAUGACUGGGCGUAAAGGGCGCGUAGGUGGUUUUUUAAGUGAGGCGUGAAAGCCCUGGGCUUAACCCAGGAGGUGCGUUUCAUACUGGAAAGCUUGAGUGCGAGAGAGGAAAGCGGAAUUCCUAGUGUAGAGGUGAAAUUCGUAGAUAUUAGGAAGAACACCAGUGGCGAAGGCGGCUUUCUGGCUCGUAACUGACGCUGAGGCGCGAAAGCGUGGGGAGCAAACAGG
This 253-nucleotide ribosomal RNA is filed under the name uncultured bacterium. Its description in RNAcentral is "partial 16S ribosomal RNA". It matches the Rfam family "Bacterial small subunit ribosomal RNA", at positions 524 to 776 of the family's 1533-position model. The record is from RNAcentral.